RNAcentral lists this ribosomal RNA (546 nucleotides) under uncultured Glomeromycotina. RNAcentral describes it as "SSU rRNA". It matches the Rfam family "Eukaryotic small subunit ribosomal RNA", at positions 548 to 1098 of the family's 1831-position model. Lineage: Eukaryota; Fungi; Glomeromycota. The record is from RNAcentral.
UUGGAGGGCAAGUCUGGUGCCCGCAGCCGCGGUAAUUCCAGCUCCAAUAGCGUAUAUUAAAGUUGUUGCAGUUAAAAAGCUCGUAGUUGAAUUUCGGGAUUAGUACGCUGGUCGUGCCUUCGGUACGUACUGGUGUUACUGAUUCCUACCUUCUGACGAACCAUCAUGUCAUUAAUUUGGUGUGGUGGGGAAUCAGGACUGUUACUUUGAAAAAAUUAGAGUGUUUAAAGCAGGCUCGCGCUUGAAUACAUUAGCAUGGAAUAAUGAAAUAGGACGUUGAUCCUAUUUUGUUGGUUUCUAGGAUUGACGUAAUGAUUAAUAGGGAUAGUUGGGGGCAUUAGUAUUCAAUUGUCAGAGGUGAAAUUCUUGGAUUUAUUGAAGACUAACUACUGCGAAAGCAUUUGCCAAGGAUGUUUUCAUUAAUCAAGAACGAAAGUUAGGGGAUCGAAGACGAUCAGAUACCGUCGUAGUCUUAACCAUAAACUAUGCCGACUAGGGAUCGGAUGAUGUUAUUUUUAAUGACUCAUUCGGCGCCUUACGGGAAAC